AACGAACGCUGGCGGCAUGCCUAACACAUGCAAGUCGAACGAUCCCUUCGGGGAUAGUGGCGCACGGGUGCGUAACGCGUGGGAAUCUGCCCUCAGGUACGGAAUAACUCAGGGAAACUUGAGCUAAUACCGUAUAAUGACUUCGGUCCAAAGAUUUAUCGCCUGGGGAUGAGCCCGCGUCGGAUUAGCUAGUUGGUGAGGUAAAAGCUCACCAAGGCGACGAUCCGUAGCUGGUCUGAGAGGAUGAUCAGCCACACUGGGACUGAGACACGUCCCAGACUCCUACGGGAGGCAGCAGUGGGGAAUAUUGGACAAUGGGCGCAAGCCUGAUCCAGCAAUGCCGCGUGAGUGAUGAAGGCCUUAGGGUUGUAAAGCUCUUUUACCCGGGAAGAUAAUGACUGUACCGGGAGAAUAAGCCCCGGCUAACUCCGUGCCAGCAGCCGCGGUAAUACGGAGGGGGCGUAGCGUUGUUCGGAAUUACUGGGCGUAAAGCGCACGUA
RNAcentral lists this ribosomal RNA (500 nucleotides) under uncultured bacterium. Its description in RNAcentral is "bacterial SSU rRNA". It matches the Rfam family "Bacterial small subunit ribosomal RNA", at positions 28 to 573 of the family's 1533-position model. The record is from RNAcentral.